UUUCCAAAAUAACCACAUUUAAAAGAGGAUGCGCCAGAUGAACCGGCACAUCCUUAAGGAUCAAGAGGAGGCACCAAUGGCAUGGGCGCCUGCAUUGGUAGCCUCAUGAGGAGGCGCCAAUGCCCUUUGCGCCUGCAUUGGGCCUCAUGAGGAAGCGUCAAUGCCUAUGGCGCAUGCAUGGUGCCUCAAGAAGAGGCGCCAAUGCCUCUGGCGCUUGCAUGUGUUCACAUGUUAGGCGCCUAGCCUC
This 247-nucleotide long non-coding RNA is filed under the name Lathyrus oleraceus (garden pea). RNAcentral's name for it is "Pisum sativum (pea) long non-coding RNA (PSAT_LNC026780)". Lineage: Eukaryota; Viridiplantae; Streptophyta; Magnoliopsida; Fabales; Fabaceae. The record is from RNAcentral.